This 950-nucleotide ribosomal RNA is filed under the name uncultured organism. Its description in RNAcentral is "bacterial SSU rRNA". It matches the Rfam family "Bacterial small subunit ribosomal RNA", at positions 462 to 1427 of the family's 1533-position model. The record is from RNAcentral.
AUGCGGUAUGACGGUACCCUUUCGAAUAAGAGGUUGCUAACUCUGUGCCAGCAGCAGCGGUAAUACAGAGACCUCGAGCGUUAUCCGGAUUUACUGGGCGUAAAGCGUCUGUAGGGGGUUUGUUAAGUUCCAAGUAAAAUCUUAAGGCUCAACUUUAAGUUCGCUUGGAAAACUAAUAAACUGGAGUCCAGCAGAGGUGCAUGGAACUUGCGGUGUAGGAGUGAAAUCCGUUGAUAUCGCAAGGAACACCAAAGGCGAAGGCAUUGCACUGGGCUGGUACUGACCCUGAGAGACGAAAGCGUGGGGAGCAAAGCGGAUUAGAUACCCGUGUAGUCCACGCCGUAAACGAUGGAUACUAGAUGUUCGGGGAUUCGACCCCCUGGGUGUCACAGCUAACGCGUUAAGUAUCCCGCCUGGGAAGUACGGCCGCAAGGCUAAAACUCAAAGGAAUAGACGGGGAUCCGCACAAGCGGUGGAGCGUCUGGUUUAAUUUGAUAGUAAGCAAUGGACCUCACCAAGGUUUGACAUCCUAUGACAACCCUGGAAACAGGGCUUCCUUCGGGCAUAGUGACAGGUGCUGCAUGGUCGUCGUCAGUUCGUGCCGUGAGGUGUUCCGUUAAGUCGGGAAACGAACGAAACCCUCGUCGCAUGUUACAAAUUUCAUGCGAGACUGCCCGGGUCAACCGGGAGGAAGGCGGGGAUGACGUCAGAUCAGCAUGGCCCUUAUACCUUGGGCUACACAGGCGCUACAAUGGCCGGUACAAAGGGUUGCAAAACCGCGAGGUGAAGCUAAUCCCAUAAAGCCGGUCCAAGUUCGGAUUGGAGGCUGCAAUUCGCCUCCAUGAAGUUGGAAUCGCUAGUAAUCGUGGAUCAGCCAUACCACGGUGAAUACGUUCCCGGAUCUUGUACUCACCGCCCGUCACACCAAGAGAGUUGGUAGCUCCUGAAGC